Lolium perenne is the source of this 1084-nucleotide non-coding RNA. The record is from RefSeq and is a predicted model, not a curated record. NCBI's taxonomy places the organism in Eukaryota, Viridiplantae, Streptophyta, Magnoliopsida, Poales, Poaceae.
CUUUUCGUCGUCAACCAAUACGUCGUCUGUUUCGGUCACCCCUUCGUCGGUCUCUUCCUCCGCGUCGCGAAAUAAGGGCUCCGAAAAUUCCGCCACCAAAUCCUCCAUUGAUCGAUCUUUCGCUCCCUGUCAACCAUCGAAGCUCCACACCCACCCCAUCUCAUUCGCUUUCUGUUUCCAUAUCUCCCCGCCGCGGCGCCGCCAUACAUCCAUGCCUCAGCCCUUCGCGCUGCUCCACAGUCCACACCCACCCCAUAGUCGGACCAGCCUCAGGCCUCCGGCUCCACGACCCGCUUGUAGGAGCAGCAGCGUCCCUAGGCCAGCGAGCGAGCGACAUCGAUGGCCACCGCGGGCACACACGCAUCGGAUGGCCCGGUAGCCAUAGAGUGCCGUCGUCGGAUCUCCUACCUCUCUGGCGAUGGAAAGGAUCCAGGCCAACACUUCUGAAUCCUGCUGACGCGAACGCGUGGGAAGGAGCUGCACAAAUCCUCCGGCGACGAUACCAAGUUCCUGCGAAUCCAAGCUCGCUCCCAACAGCAAGGCUGCGCUUAGUAUUGGAUCCACAGGACCUACAAAAUCUGAAUACUACCCUAUUUUGUUUAUUGGGGUUACACAACUUCCAACUCCAUGUGUAUUUGUGCGAUAUGCCAAUAUGAUGGUGAUAUGUGUACAUUACUGAAGCUGCAAAGGUAAUGUUUUACCGCUGAAUGAAAAUGUUGUGCCGACAAUAAAACAAACCUUCAUAUUGAGAAUGAAAGGGGAGGGGCCAUCGUCAGUGCUGGCCAUGCGGCGGCAGCAAGUACAAGGCAAGGUCGCUUGAAGAGAGUGGAGGAAGAGGACAAGGAUUCAGAGUAAUGCUGAGGACAUACAACUGCUUGUAUGUGAUAGUGGCACUGGAAUGGUCAAGGGUAUUCUGAAUUCAUUAUUGAAUGAAGAUUUAAUUGGAAGAAUGCGGACAUGAAGAAAGGAAUUAUUGGGAUUCAUUAUUCAUAUAUAUUAAUCAAGUAUGGGAACACAACCUUAGCCUUUGCCAUGCAAAUCCUGGUAAGAACAUUCUGCAGGAGCAGAGUUGAAAGAAUGUGCU